Molecule: ribosomal RNA, 461 nt
Filed under: uncultured bacterium
Lineage: Bacteria
Description: bacterial SSU rRNA
Rfam family: Bacterial small subunit ribosomal RNA
Source: RNAcentral
CGGGAGGCAGCAGUUAGGAAUCUUCCGCAAUGGGCGCAAGCCUGACGGAGCGACGCCGCUUGGAGGAAGAAGCCCUUCGGGGUGUAAACUCCUGAACCCGGGACGAAACCCCCGACGAGGGGACUGACGGUACCGGGGUAAUAGCGCCGGCCAACUCCGUGCCAGCAGCCGCGGUAAUACGGAGGGCGCGAGCGUUACCCGGAUUCACUGGGCGUAAAGGGCGUGUAGGCGGCCUGGGGCGCCCCGUGUGAAAGACCACGGCUCAACCGUGGGGGAGCGUGGGAUACGCUCAGGCUAGACGGUGGGAGAGGGUGGUGGAAUUCCCGGAGUAGCGGUGAAAUGCGCAGAUACCGGGAGGAACGCCGAUGGCGAAGGCAGCCACCUGGUCCACCCGUGACGCUGAGGCGCGAAAGCGUGGGGAGCAAACCGGAUUAGAUACCCGGGUAGUCCACGCCCUAAAC